RNAcentral lists this ribosomal RNA (433 nucleotides) under uncultured bacterium. RNAcentral's name for it is "partial 16S ribosomal RNA". It matches the Rfam family "Bacterial small subunit ribosomal RNA", at positions 29 to 507 of the family's 1533-position model. The record is from RNAcentral.
AACGAACGCUGGCGGCAUGCCUAACACAUGCAAGUCGAACGAGACCUUCGGGUCUAGUGGCGCACGGGUGCGUAACGCGGGGGAACCUGCCCUUAGGUUCGGAAUAACUCCCCGAAAGGGGUGCUAAUACCGGAUAAUGUCUUCGGACCAAAGAUUUAUCGCCUUUGGAUGGGCCCGCGUUGGAUUCGCUAGUUGGUAGGGUAAAAGCCUACCAAGGCGACGAUCCAUAGCUGGUCUGAGAGGAGGAUCAGCCACACUGGGACUGCGACACGGCCCAGACUCCUACGGGAGGCAGCAGUGGGGAAUAUUGGACAAUGGGCGAAAGCCUGAUCCAGCAAUGCCGCGUGAGUGAUGAAGGCCUUAGGGUUGUAAAGCUCUUUUACCCGGGAUGAUAAUGACAGUACCGGGAGAAUAAGCUCCGGCUAACUCCGUG